AUUGAACGCUGGCGGCAGGCUUAACACAUGCAAGUCGGGCGGAGAUGAGGUGCUUGCACCUUAUCUUAGCGGCGGACGGGUGAGUAAUGCUUAGGAAUCUGCCUAUUAGUGGGGGACAACAUUCCGAAAGGAAUGCUAAUACCGCAUACGUCCUACGGGAGAAAGCAGGGGAUCUUCGGACCUUGCGCUAAUAGAUGAGCCUAAGUCGGAUUAGCUAGUUGGUGGGGUAAAGGCCUACCAAGGCGACGAUCUGUAGCGGGUCUGAGAGGAUGAUCCGCCACACUGGGACUGGGACACGGCCCAGACUCCUACGGGAGGCAGCAGUGGGGAAUAUUGGACAAUGGGGGGAACCCUGAUCCAGCCAUGCCGCGUGUGUGAAGAAGGCCUUAUGGUUGUAAAGCACUUUAAGCGAGGAGGAGGCUACUGAGACUAAUACUCUUGGAUAGUGGACGUUACUCGCAGAAUAAGCACCGGGUAACUCUGUGCCAGCCGCCGCCGUAA
RNAcentral lists this ribosomal RNA (501 nucleotides) under uncultured bacterium. Its description in RNAcentral is "partial 16S ribosomal RNA". It matches the Rfam family "Bacterial small subunit ribosomal RNA", at positions 30 to 523 of the family's 1533-position model. The record is from RNAcentral.